RNAcentral lists this long non-coding RNA (201 nucleotides) under Elaeis guineensis (African oil palm). Its description in RNAcentral is "long non-coding RNA (EGUI_LNC023694)". The record is from RNAcentral. Lineage: Eukaryota; Viridiplantae; Streptophyta; Magnoliopsida; Arecales; Arecaceae.
ACCCAGUGCAAGAAGUCGACUCUGAUGAAUAGUCAGAAUAUCUGCCCGUUAUCUUUGUAUUUCUAUUUUCUGUUUAGUCUUUGAUAUCUGUAAUCGGGCUUCAUCCCAAUUUUGUAAUCGGACUUCGACCCAAUGUUGUAAUCGGGCUUCGGUCCAAUUUUGACUUAACAAAAUCAAAGACUUUUCACACUUUUUCUCGCA